AGAGUGGAAAAUAUGGUUGAUGUUUCUGGAAGUAAAUGGGGUAGAAGGUGAAAGAUUGGCUGGUCCUUGGAAAGGAAAUAGGUUUUUGCCAGGACCAUGUUUGAAGUCUUCACAGGAUAGGAGGAGUUGGCAGAGCUUGAAUUUCAGUGACAUAACCUUUGAGAACAAAGAGUAAUCUCCGUGCCAUGUUGAGGCAUCAAAGUAGACCUUUGUGGAGCAAAUAAUAGACGAUUUACUUGUGAAUAAAUUCUAUUUUCUCAUUCUUUGUUUACCA
Molecule: long non-coding RNA, 274 nt
Filed under: Monodelphis domestica (gray short-tailed opossum)
Lineage: Eukaryota; Metazoa; Chordata; Mammalia; Didelphimorphia; Didelphidae
Description: lncRNA (ENSMODG00000045449.1)
Source: RNAcentral